This 64-nucleotide transfer RNA is filed under the name Paramacrosteles nigromaculatus. Its description in RNAcentral is "tRNA-Asp". Lineage: Eukaryota; Metazoa; Arthropoda; Insecta; Hemiptera; Cicadellidae. The record is from RNAcentral.
AAGAAAAUAGUUUAAUUAAAACAUUAACUUGUCAGGUUUAAAUUACUAAAAAAAGUGUUUCUUU